RNAcentral lists this non-coding RNA (98 nucleotides) under Bacteroidota bacterium. RNAcentral's name for it is "Bacteroidetes bacterium TPP sequence". It matches the Rfam family "TPP riboswitch aptamer (THI element)". From Rfam's summary of the family: Vitamin B(1) in its active form thiamin pyrophosphate (TPP) is an essential coenzyme that is synthesised by coupling of pyrimidine and thiazole moieties in bacteria. The previously detected thiamin-regulatory element, thi box was extended, resulting in a new, highly conserved RNA secondary structure, the THI element, which is widely distributed in eubacteria and also occurs in some archaea. Analysis of operon structures identified a large number of new candidate thiamin-regulated genes, mostly transporters, in various prokaryotic organisms. The record is from RNAcentral. Lineage: Bacteria; Pseudomonadati; Bacteroidota.
UAUAGCUUAUAGGGGUGUCAUGUCUUUGGCAUGGCUGAGAAAAACCCUCGGAACCUGAUACAGAUAAUGCUGUCGAAGGGAAUGAGCAAAUUCUCUCC